Molecule: ribosomal RNA, 254 nt
Filed under: uncultured bacterium
Lineage: Bacteria
Description: partial 16S ribosomal RNA
Rfam family: Bacterial small subunit ribosomal RNA
Source: RNAcentral
UACGUAGGGUGCAAGCGUUGUCCGGAAUUAUUGGGCGUAAAGAGCUCGUAGGCGGCUCGGUAAGUCGGGUGUGAAAACUCUAGGCUCAACCUAGAGACGACACCUGAUACUGCCGUGGCUAGAGUCCGGUAGGGGAGCAUGGAAUUCCUGGUGUAGCGGUGAAAUGCGCAGAUAUCAGGAGGAACACCAGUGGCGAAGGCGGUGCUCUGGGCCGGAACUGACGCUGAGGAGCGAAAGCGUGGGGAGCAAACAGG